Molecule: transfer RNA, 73 nt
Filed under: Ailuropoda melanoleuca (giant panda)
Lineage: Eukaryota; Metazoa; Chordata; Mammalia; Carnivora; Ursidae
Rfam family: tRNA
About the family: Transfer RNA (tRNA) molecules are approximately 80 nucleotides in length. Their secondary structure includes four short double-helical elements and three loops (D, anti-codon, and T loops). Further hydrogen bonds mediate the characteristic L-shaped molecular structure. tRNAs have two regions of fundamental functional importance: the anti-codon, which is responsible for specific mRNA codon recognition, and the 3' end, to which the tRNAs corresponding amino acid is attached (by aminoacyl-tRNA synthetases). tRNAs cope with the degeneracy of the genetic code in two manners: having more than one tRNA (with a specific anti-codon) for a particular amino acid; and 'wobble' base-pairing, i.e. permitting non-standard base-pairing at the 3rd anti-codon position.
Source: Rfam by way of RNAcentral
ACCUAGCUGGCUCAGUUGGUACAACAUACAACUCUUAAUCUUGGGGUCAUGGGUGCAAGUCCCAUGUUGGGUG